This 192-nucleotide ribosomal RNA is filed under the name endophyte RAb7. Its description in RNAcentral is "partial small subunit ribosomal RNA". It matches the Rfam family "Eukaryotic small subunit ribosomal RNA", at positions 34 to 228 of the family's 1831-position model. Lineage: Eukaryota; Fungi; Ascomycota. The record is from RNAcentral.
GUCUCAAAGAUUAAGCCAUGCAUGUCUAAGUAUAAGCAAUCUAUACCGUGAAACUGCGAAUGGCUCAUUAAAUCAGUUAUCGUUUAUUUGAUAGUACCUUACUACUUGGAUAACCGUGGUAAUUCUAGAGUUAAUACAUGCUAAAAACCCCGACUUCGGAAGGGGUGUAUUUAUUAGAUAAAAAACCAAUGC